GGGGGUGUGGCUCAGUGGUAGAGUGCAUGCUUAGCAUGUAUGAGACCCUGGGUUCAAUCCCAGUACUCCCA
This is a non-coding RNA of Bos taurus (domestic cattle), 71 nucleotides long. NCBI's taxonomy places the organism in Eukaryota, Metazoa, Chordata, Mammalia, Artiodactyla, Bovidae. The record is from Rfam.